RNAcentral lists this ribosomal RNA (1031 nucleotides) under Pseudomonas aeruginosa. Its description in RNAcentral is "bacterial SSU rRNA". It matches the Rfam family "Bacterial small subunit ribosomal RNA", at positions 39 to 1049 of the family's 1533-position model. The record is from RNAcentral. Lineage: Bacteria; Pseudomonadati; Pseudomonadota; Gammaproteobacteria; Pseudomonadales; Pseudomonadaceae.
GCGGCGUGCCUAAUACAUGCAAGUCGAGCGAACGGACGAGAAGCUUGCUUCUCUGAUGUUAGCGGCGGACGGGUGAGUAACACGUGGAUAACCUACCUAUAAGACUGGGAUAACUUCGGGAAACCGGAGCUAAUACCGGAUAAUAUUUUGAACCGCAUGGUUCAAAAGUGAAAGACGGUCUUGCUGUCACUUAUAGAUGGAUCCGCGCUGCAUUAGCUAGUUGGUAAGGUAACGGCUUACCAAGGCAACGAUGCAUAGCCGACCUGAGAGGGUGAUCGGCCACACUGGAACUGAGACACGGUCCAGACUCCUACGGGAGGCAGCAGUAGGGAAUCUUCCGCAAUGGGCGAAAGCCUGACGGAGCAACGCCGCGUGAGUGAUGAAGGUCUUCGGAUCGUAAAACUCUGUUAUUAGGGAAGAACAUAUGUGUAAGUAACUGUGCACAUCUUGACGGUACCUAAUCAGAAAGCCACGGCUAACUACGUGCCAGCAGCCGCGGUAAUACGUAGGUGGCAAGCGUUAUCCGGAAUUAUUGGGCGUAAAGCGCGCGUAGGCGGUUUUUUAAGUCUGAUGUGAAAGCCCACGGCUCAACCGUGGAGGGUCAUUGGAAACUGGAAAACUUGAGUGCAGAAGAGGAAAGUGGAAUUCCAUGUGUAGCGGUGAAAUGCGCAGAGAUAUGGAGGAACACCAGUGGCGAAGGCGACUUUCUGGUCUGUAACUGACGCUGAUGUGCGAAAGCGUGGGGAUCAAACAGGAUUAGAUACCCUGGUAGUCCACGCCGUAAACGAUGAGUGCUAAGUGUUAGGGGGUUUCCGCCCCUUAGUGCUGCAGCUAACGCAUUAAGCACUCCGCCUGGGGAGUACGACCGCAAGGUUGAAACUCAAAGGAAUUGACGGGGACCCGCACAAGCGGUGGAGCAUGUGGUUUAAUUCGAAGCAACGCGAAGAACCUUACCAAAUCUUGACAUCCUUUGACAACUCUAGAGAUAGAGCCUUCCCCUUCGGGGGACAAAGUGACAGGUGGUGCAUGGU